AUAUAACUAAGCGGAGGAAAAGAAACUAACCAGGAUUCCCGUAGUAACGGCGAGUGAAGUGGGAAAAGCUCAGACUGAAAAUCUUCGGAGUUGUGGUCUGGAGAAGAUGUAGACAUGGGGGUAGAUCCUAGUAAAAUCGUCUGGAAAGGCGUGCCAAGGAGGGUGACAGCCCCGUUCAUACUAGGGUCGAGUCCGUUCUACUCUUCCAUGAGUCGAGUUGUUUGGGAUUGCAGCUCUAAUCGGGUGGUAAAUUCCAUCUAAAGCUAAAUAUGGGUAGGAGACCGAUAGCGCACAAGUA
Molecule: ribosomal RNA, 298 nt
Filed under: uncultured eukaryote
Lineage: Eukaryota
Description: partial large subunit ribosomal RNA
Rfam family: Eukaryotic large subunit ribosomal RNA
Source: RNAcentral